RNAcentral lists this ribosomal RNA (363 nucleotides) under Ctenophora environmental sample. Its description in RNAcentral is "partial Bacterial small subunit ribosomal RNA". It matches the Rfam family "Bacterial small subunit ribosomal RNA", at positions 190 to 532 of the family's 1533-position model. Lineage: Eukaryota; Metazoa; Ctenophora. The record is from RNAcentral.
AUACGAGUUUAGAAAAGAUGGCCUCUAUUUAUAAGCUGUCGCUUAAAGAUAAGCCUGCGUCCUAUUAGCUUGUUGGUGAGGUAAUGGCUCACCAAGGCAAUGAUAGGUAGGCGGCUUUAACGAGUGGUCGCCCACACUGGGAUUGAGAUACGGCCCAGACUCCUACGGGAGGCAGCAGUAGGGAAUAUUGGACAAUGGGCGCAAGCCUGAUCCAGCAAUGCCGCGUGUGUGAAGAAGGCCUUCGGGUUGUAAAGCACUUUCAGUAGAGAAGAAAUCCUUAAAGCCAAUACCUUUAAGUGUUGACGUUAUCUACAGAAGAAGCACUGGCUAACUCUGUGCCAGCAGCCGCGGUAAUACAGAGGG